RNAcentral lists this microRNA precursor (89 nucleotides) under Pelobates cultripes (western spadefoot toad). Lineage: Eukaryota; Metazoa; Chordata; Amphibia; Anura; Pelobatidae. The record is from RNAcentral.
CCCCAGAUGUUGCUGAACUACAACUCCCAUGAUUCCCUGGAUGUUUCAUUGAAAGAAUCAUGGGAGUUGUAGUUCAGCAACAUCUGGGG